UCAGGACGAACGCUGGCGGCGUGCCUAAUACAUGCAAGUCGAACGGUCUUUCUAUGGAAGCUUGCUUCCACUGAGAAGAUAGUGGCGAACGGGUGAGUAACACGUGGGUAACCUGCCCAUAAGAGGGGGGAUAACAUCCGGAAACGGGUGCUAAUACCGCAUAGUUUUCUUGAUUGCAUGAUUGAGAAAGGAAAGACGGCCUUUGUGCUGUCGCUUAUGGAUGGACCCGCGGCGUAUUAGUUAGUUGGUGAGGUAACGGCUCACCAAGACGAUGAUACGUAGCCGACCUGAGAGGGUGAUCGGCCACAUUGGGACUGAGACACGGCCCAAACUCCUACGGGAGGCAGCAGUAGGGAAUCUUCCGCAAUGGACGAAAGUCUGACGGAGCAACGCCGCGUGAGUGAAAGAAGGUUUUCGGAUCGUAAAACUCUGUUGUCAGAGAAGAACAAGUUGGAGGGUAACUGCUCCAGCCUUGACGGUAUCUGACCAGAAAGCCACGGCUAACUACGUGCCAGCAGCCGC
RNAcentral lists this ribosomal RNA (522 nucleotides) under uncultured bacterium. RNAcentral's name for it is "bacterial SSU rRNA". It matches the Rfam family "Bacterial small subunit ribosomal RNA", at positions 24 to 518 of the family's 1533-position model. The record is from RNAcentral.